This 563-nucleotide ribosomal RNA is filed under the name uncultured bacterium. Its description in RNAcentral is "bacterial SSU rRNA". It matches the Rfam family "Bacterial small subunit ribosomal RNA", at positions 338 to 916 of the family's 1533-position model. The record is from RNAcentral.
CCUACGGGAGGCAGCAGUUGGGAAUUUUGCACAAUGGACGAAAGUCUGAUGCAGCAACGCCGCGUGCGGGAUGAAGAUUUUCGGAUUGUAAACCGCUUUUAUUUGGGAGUAACUGUUUGAACGUACCAAAUGAAUAAGCACCGGCUAACUCCGUGCCAGCAGCCGCGGUAAUACGGAGGGUGCAAACGUUGUCCGGAAUUACUGGGCGUAAAGCGCAUGUAGGUGGUCUAAUAAGUGAACGAUUAAAUACCGACGCUUAACGUCGGAAAGGUUAUUCAUACUGUUAGACUCGAGGAAGACAGGGGCAGAUGGAACUUUAAGUGUAGGAGUGAUAUCCGUAGAUAUUUAAAGGAACACCAAUGGCGAAGGCAGUCUGCUGGGUCUUUUCUGACACUGAGAUGCGAAAGUGUGGGGAGCAAACGGGAUUAGAUACCCCGGUAGUCCACACUGUAAACGAUGCUCACUAGGUCUUGGAGGGUAUCGACCCCCUUUUGGACCGAAGCUAACGCGUUAAGUGAGCCGCCUGGGAGUACGAACGCAGUUUAAACUUAAGGAAUUGACGG